This is a long non-coding RNA of Anguilla anguilla (European eel), 299 nucleotides long. RefSeq lists it as uncharacterized. The record is from RefSeq and is a predicted model, not a curated record. Lineage: Eukaryota; Metazoa; Chordata; Actinopteri; Anguilliformes; Anguillidae. The transcript is spliced from 3 exons.
CGUACACCCCAGGCAGACGGUAAUAUUGAUAGCCUUUAUAAAUUACAGCACAUUAAGAAAUCAAGUUUUGCGCAUGCUUAGAUUUCCAAACCAGUAACAGCACUUGGAUGCAUUCUCAAGCAUCCCAUUCCAUUUUCAACUUGGAUCGUGAACUACCAGCGUGAUUGGGACGGAGCAGUCCUCAGAUGACAUCAGAGAUAAAUCCAUCAACUGAGCAUUCAGCAGAAGUAAAUCUUGCAAUCUUGCUGAAGAAAAAAAUAUUAUUGAGUGCCACAUUUUUCUCCAAACAAAAUCAACCA